Molecule: long non-coding RNA, 312 nt
Filed under: Homo sapiens (human)
Lineage: Eukaryota; Metazoa; Chordata; Mammalia; Primates; Hominidae
Description: HSALNT0228812
Source: RNAcentral
UGGAGCUGAGGGUGGAAGGGGAGUGAGCUGACGCUCGGAAGGUGUCUUGAGAUUAUCAUCCGCUGAGGGUGGAAGGGGAUGGAGCAGACACUCGGCACGUGUCUUGAGAUUAUCAUCCGCUGAGGGUGGAAGGGGAGUGAGCACACACUCGGGAGGUGUCUUGAGAUUAUCAUCCGCUGAGGGUGGAAGGGGAGUGAGCAGACACUCGGGAGGUGUCUUGAGGCUCAGGGAGUUAUCAGUUAUAGAAUGUUGUUGAGUUGGAGGAGGUGGCUGGUGGCCCAUCCUGUUUUUUAAAGUUUCAGCUGUGAGGUA